GAGCUUGCUUCAUUGCCGGCGACCGGCGCACGGGUGAGUAACGCGUAUCCCACCUUCCGCUUACUCGGGGAUAGCCUCUCGAAAGAAAGAUUACAUACCCGAUGGUAUCUUAAGCACGCAUGAGAUUAAGAUUAAAGAUUUAUCGGUAAGCGAUGGGGAUGCGUUCCAUUAGGCAGUUGGCGGGGUAACGGCCCACCAAACCUACGAUGGAUAGGGGUUCUGAGAGGAAGGUCCCCCACAUUGGAACUGAGACACGGUCCAAACUCCUACGGGAGGCAGCAGUGAGGAAUAUUGGUCAAUGGGCGAGAGCCUGAACCAGCCAAGUAGCGUGAAGGAUGACGGCCCUACGGGUUGUAAACUUCUUUUGUGCGGGAAUAAAGGAACCUACGUGUAGGUUUUUGCAUGUACCGUAACGAAUAAGCAUCGGCUAACUCCGUGCCAGCAGCCGCGGUAAUACGGAGGAUGCGAGCGUUAUCCGGAUUUAUUGGGUUUAAAGGGAGCGUAGACGGGUUUUUAAGUCAGCUGUGAAAGUUUGGGGCUCAACCUUAAAAUUGCAGUUGAAACUGGAGACCUUGAGUACGGUUGAGGCAGGCGGAAUUCGUGGUGUAGCGGUGAAAUGCUUAGAUAUCACGAAGAACUCCGAUUG
RNAcentral lists this ribosomal RNA (646 nucleotides) under uncultured Bacteroides sp. RNAcentral's name for it is "bacterial SSU rRNA". It matches the Rfam family "Bacterial small subunit ribosomal RNA", at positions 69 to 715 of the family's 1533-position model. The record is from RNAcentral. Lineage: Bacteria; Pseudomonadati; Bacteroidota; Bacteroidia; Bacteroidales; Bacteroidaceae.